Molecule: long non-coding RNA, 2458 nt
Organism: Quercus robur (English oak)
Lineage: Eukaryota; Viridiplantae; Streptophyta; Magnoliopsida; Fagales; Fagaceae
Exons: 8
Source: RefSeq, a predicted model, not a curated record
AGUUUUGUCACAUUUUCUUCAUUGUUUUGCCAUUUUAGCCUGAUUUAUUACAUCUCAUAGUAAAUUGAUAAUAUACCUUUAUAGACAUCCUAGUAUAUACAUACGGUUCUAAUUUUUUUGCAUGUCAAUAAAGGGGUGUCUUAUGAAACUGUUUAGUUUCUAUAAAUGUCGUGGCAGAUGUGCUACUCAAAGAUACUUUUAGCCCGGGUGGAAUUCUGGAUACGUUUGAAAACUCUAUAGCCGAAAUGAUUCUGAGAGAAUUUUACAAAUUCAUGUUUGUGUUACUAACAAGCUCAUAAGGUCUCAUUUUAAAUCUGGUGCUUAUUUGGUUGAAAAGGAUACUGGCUGUUGCUUAGCAGAAAUCGUAGAAACCAUGCCAGCAGGUCCUUUUUUGAUCUCACUAGCACAACCAUAAGUGAAGACCUUGAGCAUUGGAGCCAUUUUGUAGGUUACAAUCACCUUCUAAAAUUAUUGUCAUUUUUUGGAGGAUUUUAUUGAAUUUUCUUCUUGUGAGGGCAGAAUUGAGAAGACUUGUGAGGACUUUUUUCCUGUGUGUCAAAGAUGCAGAAACCUUAGACCUUAUUUUUUUCCCUUGUCAUCUAGAGAAAUCUGGUUUGGUUUGAUCUGUCCAUUAGAACUAAUUUCAUUCAGCCUUACUUGAUUCAGGCAUGGAUGAAGAGAAAUCAGGGCAAUUUAGAGAACUUAAAGGUAACUAACGGUUCAAAAAACAAAGAAAAGCCUCAACAACAGCAAGAAAAGCAAAUCCAGACCUUUAGAGAGGGUUCAACUGCAACCAAUCCUGCUGGAGGAGAGCUGCAAGGGUAGGGGAUGGAAAUAGCGGGGAUCCAAUUUCUUUUUUAAAAAUAGAGAAUAUGCAUGUCCAUAGCUGCUUGUGAGGAGUCAAGUGAGUGAUUAGUGACCUGAGAUUUUUUCAUUGGAAGGAAUUUGUGAAGUGACCCAGAAGGUUGAUCAACGCUUUUCUCUCUAUCGCCCAUCUGUGAUUUACCACAAGAGAAGCGCGUUUGGAUCUAUUACUAAAUGACCUUAGCCAUCUGAUGCCUUUAUUCAAUGUUGGGAAAUCAUCAAAGACUUCAUCUUCCCAUGUAAUGCUUGUGAAGAAGAAUUGAUCAUGAGCAGGGCAAAACUGUUCAUGCUCAUUUCACAGGAUAAAACAAACCAGAAGACUUGAUCUCCAUAGGCAAGCAACUGUGCAGACAAGGUUGAAAAAUAGAGAAGCUAUCCUGCUUUGAUUGGACCUGAUUAGAGAGCUGUGCUCUCCAGAAGUAGCUGCUCAAAUUUUAGCUAUCCCAAGCUGUGGAGUUACUGAUAAGCUGCUAUGGCCUCAUACAACACACCAUAGUAUGCACAAGCCUAUGAUGCACAACAUGUUGAUUAGAGUAACUACUGGAGAGUUCCAAGGGGAGUGUGUCCAGUUGUGGAGGGAUGGCAAGUGUUGCUGACAGUUGAGGGGCACUGGCAGAGCAGAUGCAAAUGGGGUUGUUUUGCCUAUGUAGCUAAAUCAUGGGCUGGCAGAUAAUUUUUCAGCCUGUUCCAGUAAUGCCGUAUGCAAAAAAGUGAAAGCUUACUGUUUGAGAAGCAUAUUUUCCAGGUUGUUCUGGUUAGUGGAAGAUUGGAGGACCUGUGGAAAAGAAGAAGGUUCCUUGGCAACUUGGUGCGUUGAUUGAAGAACACAAGUGCAAGGAAGUUGGAGAAUGCCAGUGGUGUACAUUUGCUGUGUACAGGAGUCACUAAUGAGGUCUGCACAAGUCUCUAAUGCACAACAAGCAGAUCAAAGUAACUGCAGGAAAGUACCAAGGCAGGUGUAUCAAGUUGUGGAGGGUUGUAGGUGUUGCUGACAAUUUAGGGACGCUAGCAGAGAUAGUGUGAACGGGGUGGUUUUGGCUUUGUAGCCAAAUCAAGUGCUGGCAGGCUGUUGCAGUUCAUCCAUAUGCAACCAAAUGGCAUGCAGCUAGAUGCCCCUGUUCGGAAAGCAUUAACUAAGGCUAUACAGCUUGGUUUUUGUAGACUUGUUUCCAUCAUUUCUAAGAGUGGAGGAACUCCUUUUGAGAAGAAGGUUUCCUUGGCAACUUGCUAUGCUGAUUGAAGGCCACAAGUGCAUAGAAGUAGGAGAACUUUAGUGGUUGUAUAUUUUGUGCAUAAAAGAGUUGCUACAGAUGUUGGGGUCUUGCUGUUGCUUCAAAGUCUUUUGAACAUUUUUGGACUCUACUACCAGCCAACGCUUCAGACAUUAUUUUGUAUUAUAAACCAUACCCAAAAAGAAAAGAGAAGACAAAAAGAAAGAAGUUAAAUUAACACCUUUUCUGGACUAAAGCUAGUUGCAACUACAUGCAAUCAUUAACAUUGUAAGACAUCAUAUAAGAGAUUCAUGUCUUUGCGUGAAAAUCAUAUUCAUCUCUCCUUUUAGAUUCAAAUAAGAGCAAUUGAAUUAACUAUCUAA